AUACGGAGGGUGCAAGCGUUGUCCGGAUUUAUUGGGUUUAAAGGGUGCGUAGGUGGCGUGUUAAGUCAGUGGUGAAAGCCUGCAGCUCAACUGUAGAGGUGCCAUUGAUACUGACAUGCUUGAGUAUGGACGAGGUAGGCGGAAUUUGUGGUGUAGCGGUGAAAUGCAUAGAUACCACAAAGAACACCGAUAGCGAAGGCAGCUUACUGGACCAUAACUGACACUGAGGCACGAAAGUGUGGGUAGCGAACAGGAUUAGAUACCCCAGUAGUCC
Molecule: ribosomal RNA, 274 nt
Filed under: uncultured bacterium
Lineage: Bacteria
Description: partial 16S ribosomal RNA
Rfam family: Bacterial small subunit ribosomal RNA
Source: RNAcentral